Molecule: long non-coding RNA, 347 nt
Organism: Xenopus laevis (African clawed frog)
Lineage: Eukaryota; Metazoa; Chordata; Amphibia; Anura; Pipidae
Exons: 2
Source: RefSeq, a predicted model, not a curated record
AGUCUCAUCUCGCGAGUCAGGGCGUCACAAAUAUAAUAGCAGUGACGCUACACGUAGCCGCCUUGGGGGAGUGAUGAGCAAUACUCUUCCCCUACUUGACAGCGACACAACAGUAUCCUGUACAGCUCUGUGGUCCUUUAGCACGCAAUACAGCCAAACAGGGAUGCCUUUAGUAAAAUGCAUAGUUCUGUCUACAAUGUCUUUAUGCAUCUCCGAAACGGUGCCCCUGCAAAAUACUGUAAACCUAUGGAUGUCUUCAUUAUAUUAUCAAAAGCUCUUAUUUCCUGUUACAUUGUAGAUGUAAAAUGUAACAUGAAGCACUAUAAAAAGAGUUCGUAAGUGGUUUA